AGCGAACGCUAGCGGCGGGCCUAACACAUGCAAGUCGAGCGCAUACCUUCGGGUAUGAGCGGCGGACGGGUGAGUAACGCGUAGGUCAUCUACCCUUUGGUGGGGGAUAACCCAGGGAAACUUGGGCUAAUACCGCACGAGGUCCACGGAUCAAAGCCUUCGGGCGCCAGAGGAUGAGCCUGCGUCGCAUUACCUAGUUGGCGGGGUAACGGCCCACCAAGGGGACGAUGCGUAGCUGGUCUGAGAGGAUGAUCAGCCACACUGGGACUGAGACACGGCCCAGACUCCUACGGGAGGCAGCAGUGGGGAAUAUUGCGCAAUGGGGGAAACCCUGACGCAGCCACGCCGCGUGGGUGAUGAAGGCCUCGGUUGUAAGACCCUGUCGGGAGGGACGGAAUUCUUGACGGUACCUCCAAAGAAAGCACCGGCUAACUCCGUGCCAGCAGCCG
This 449-nucleotide ribosomal RNA is filed under the name uncultured bacterium. RNAcentral describes it as "bacterial SSU rRNA". It matches the Rfam family "Bacterial small subunit ribosomal RNA", at positions 29 to 517 of the family's 1533-position model. The record is from RNAcentral.